GGACUUUUGGUUCCAAGUUCACUGGUGAAAUCACUGGAUCAAAGUUCUGAUGUUAAUCAGACAUGUCACCAUCACCCUUAUGAGUGCUUGUGAAAAAUACAGUGCCAUCUCCCACUGCAACUUCCAUGGUAUCAGCCAUGGGAAAUUAUCACUUAGUAUAUUGAUCACUCCAUCUCACAGGGUCCACAGAGACCCAACUGAUACCUGCUCAAAGGGAAAUCUGAUAUCUGCUGUCCUGUCGUCACUGAGAUGCAGCAACUCGGACUCUAAGUGAGAAGGGGCUUCCCAACAUUGGCCUUAGUCCUCAUCGGACCAUGUUCUUGCCUGAUGAGCCAGGCUGGAGGAAGGCUCCAAGUGCUGGGUUUUCUCCUUGGGACUUUGUCCUGGGGAUCCUGGGGUAGGGGCUGGACUUGGGGAUCCCGUAGCCUCCCCUAACUGGAAAAAUAGCCGAGAACCCAGGGCAGGAACUGGGCAGAGAAAGAUGGGGGGCCCAGGUGGCUGAGGAGGGGAUGGCCUGAUAAUGUAACUGUCCUGGACAGUGCUCCCAGGAUUUCACAAGGAACAAAGCCCUGGCUUUGGGGCAUCUGGCUUUCUCAGCGAAGCCUGACAUCACCAACGACUGGGAAACAGUGACAUCUGCCGGCUGCCUGAGGCCAGAGCCCUCCUCCUUGGUUGGAGAACCACAGGGCGUUAGACCAUCUUAGAAUCCUGGAACAAAGAGGAUUUGGCCUUUGAUUCAGCUGUCUGGGAGGAGCCCAGGAUUCUGCAUUUCUAACAAGCCGCUAAUACCACUGGGUAUGGGGUCGGCAGUGCACCUUGUUUAGAAAGCUUUAUUUAUAUCAAUUAUAUCUCAGUAAAAUUGAAGGAGUUCCUGUCGUGGCGCAGUGGUUAACAAAUCCAACUAGGAACCAUGAGGUUGUGGGUUCGAUCCCUGGCCUUGCUCAGGGGGUCAAGGAUCCUGCGUUGCCGUGAGCUGUGGUGUAGGUUGAAGACGCGGCUCGGAUACCUCGUUGCUGUGGCUCUGCCGUAAGCCAGUGGCUACAGCUCUGAUUAGACCCCUAGCCUGGGAAUCUCCAUAUGCUGCAGGAGCAGUCCUAGAAAAGGCAANAAAAAAAAAAAAAAAAAAAAAAAAAAAAAAGGAGGAAAAAAUGUUUUAGGGGGCUCAGAGAUGAAUCAGAUCUGGUCCCAGACAUCCCAAGUGUCUUAGGGGUGCUUUUCCACAUAUAAAAUCUGUUGAUCACAAGGCAAGACCAGUAGGGAACAUUUCUUGGAGA
Molecule: long non-coding RNA, 1274 nt
Filed under: Sus scrofa (pig)
Lineage: Eukaryota; Metazoa; Chordata; Mammalia; Artiodactyla; Suidae
Description: lncRNA (ENSSSCG00055021207.1)
Source: RNAcentral